UAGUACAUUUGUUUGCUAUUUUUUUCUUCAAAAGAUGUUUCAGGAACUGGGAACUGAUGGCAUCACUGCAGAGUGAAGAGGAAAACAAUCACUUUCCCUCCACGAACACACUGCUGCCUUUCUAUGCAACUCCAGAUAUCAGCACAGAUAGGAUUUGAGACAAUAAGCAGCUCCACAUGUGAACUUUCUAUAUAAAUGUUGUGUUGUGUGUGUACAAUUAUUUGUGCUAUUCUGCCUUUGAGUCCAGUGGGGCUUCAGAUCUUGAUGAUCAACAAGCAUUAUGAGACUGAUUUUAGGAGAGGGGCAGGGAUUGGUUUAGACUCCAUAUUGGUGUCCUGACAGGUCCACACUAGCAAUGUUCGGAAGUGAUGGCCAGGCCAUUCUGAACUGGAAACCUCCAAGGAAGCUCUCAAUGUAUGUGCCAAAACCUGCUUAUCCCUAAAGUAGUCUUAUAAUGUACAGCAAUUGAAAUAAACACAUUUCAUGCCAACUGCCUGCUUGUGCCAUACAAGCAUUAAUUUGUCAACCUAAGUGAUAAAAUUAGAAAGCUAAAAAUUAUGUAUUAUUUCUUUCAUUACAAAAAGUUCUUUGUGGUAAUCUCCCCUUCCCCCCUCUAUUUUUGUGCCAGUUUUACACUAAUUUACAUUUUCUUGUCAUAAUUCCAUUUUUAAUAGAGACAGGCCUUUUCAAAAGAUACUAGUCACUGUAUCAAUGUAAAUGAAUAAGUUGAAAUAUUAGGUUUCCCUUCUGCUAAUGAAACAUUAUAUAAGGCCAAAAAUAUCUGAAGAAAAUUGAUGGAGGGCAAAAUCUUCUAACCUAUUCUCUUGCAAUCCUUGUUGUGCUUUGUGGGAAGCUGUGGAGGUUAAUGGAGAACUCUUACCCACUGGCAAAUAAACUAAUAAAAUCACCAUAAAGAAAUUAACUGCAACUAUGCCCCCCCCCCCAAAAGCAUGAUGUGAUUACAAUAAGGGUGUGCAUAGGAAAAGCAAUCAAAUAUCUCAUUUGAUUUUUGCAAUUUAAUGACUUUAGUCACAGCAGAUGGGGCACAGGGAGGAUCAAAAUAGAAAGUAUGCUGGACAGCCAUAGGCUCUUGUCACUUUUAGUAAUACGCUAUUAAUCAGCAUAGUGUCAUAGCUAAAGAGACCUUUAAGUUGAGCUUAUCUCCUGCUGACUGCACCUAUAUCGUUUUCUUGAUGGUGCUAUGGAUAUAAUUUACCACUGCUUUCUUCCAGGAAGGUUUUUCAACUUUCCAGUCUGGCCUAUCCUCUGAAAUCGCCUUAUGUAGCUGCUCAGGUGCUAGCUAGGACCAACCCCCUUGCCUUCUAAGAUCAGCCCAGGUCACCAUGGCAUUGCCACUUGCUCCAGCAGGGUGGUGGUUAAAGUGUUGGAAUUAGACCAGGGAGACUCAGGUUUGAGUUCCUGUUAAGCCUAUCUCUCAGGCUAGGAUUUUCUCACAAGGUUAUUGCAAGGAUCAAAUUAGGCGAGCCUAGUUAAAUCUUUAAGACUCAUCACAACUCUUUACAAAGUACUUGGGGUGCUCCUUUGGAUGAAGGUUAAUUGGGAAUGAGAGAGAAAAGGGUCAGAAAUAUUAUUUCCCAUAUAGUGGUUCUAUCUGAACUGAGCUUUUGUAAUUUGGAAGUGAUAUGGGAGAGAGGAAGUUGAAAAUGAAGCAGUGAAAAAGGAAGAUGUAACCCUCCUUAACCUGUGUGCUGCACUACUUAUCUUGAUCUUGCCUGCUGACUUGAGAAUAAGUGAAAAGAAGCACAGCAGCAACAUACUGUAAUUAAUUCUACAUGUAGUUUCUCUUUUAGCCAUUGGGAGUCAUUGUAGUCCUCAGGACGCACCCACAAUGUAUAACUUCCCAAGCAGAAGAAUCCUAUUUGGGUGAAAAUAAUCAGAACUGCUGCUGUUUAUAGCAGGAGAUGGAUCAGCACAACUGUUCUAACAUCUGUACACUCCCUAUAAUUAGCUACAUAAAUUGCUGAAAAUGUGAAGGAACAUUGAAAUUGCUGUAGGAUUGCUUAUAUAAAUUAAGGUGCAGGAACUGUGGCUGCCCCGAUGUUGCUGAACUAUAGCUGUCACUAGCCAUGCUGGCUGGGGCUUCUGGGAAUUGUAGUUCUUCAACAUCUGGAGGCCUAUAGGUUUCCACCUCUGCUAGAGACACAGUGUUAGGAUUUUACCUAUUAAACUUGAAAUCCACCACCCACCCACCCACCAGCUUCUAGACUAGUCUCCUUUUGGAGGGAUGUGUACUAGCCUUUUUUUGAGUGAAGGUUUAAUCAGCAACCCCAUUACCUGUAAUGACUACACCUUGUGUUAUUUAUUUAUCCCCUCCCCCAGUGCCUUUGUAUCAUGUAAAAGCUGCUAGAAAUCUCAGUGUACUUAAAAAAAACAACUUUUCUAUCCA
This is a non-coding RNA of Python bivittatus (Burmese python), 2407 nucleotides long. The record is from RefSeq and is a predicted model, not a curated record. NCBI's taxonomy places the organism in Eukaryota, Metazoa, Chordata, Lepidosauria, Squamata, Pythonidae.